Molecule: ribosomal RNA, 134 nt
Filed under: Aerococcus urinae
Lineage: Bacteria; Bacillati; Bacillota; Bacilli; Lactobacillales; Aerococcaceae
Description: partial 16S ribosomal RNA
Rfam family: Bacterial small subunit ribosomal RNA
Source: RNAcentral
UCUUUCGUGAGAGUUUGAUCCUGGCUCAGGACGAACGCUGGCGGCGUGCCUAAUACAUGCAAGUCGAGCGAACCGACGAAGUGCUUGCACUUCUGACGUUAGCGGCGGACGGGUGAGUAACACGUAAGGAACCU